UCGACUGUCCCACAUAUGGAUUGAAGGAUUUUUCUCGUAUGGACAAUUUUGCCACUAGAAGUUGAUCGAAAUUACCUGCUAUUACUAAUUGGAUACUCUUUUGAUGCCUCUAGGUGAAGCCACCUAAAAUCCUAGGUGGACACUAUAGAAAAAGAGAGAAAUUCUAAAAAUUCUCAAAAAUGCAAAACAUCUGGCCAUUAAUCGGUAGACUCAAAUCAUCAUGGCCAUUAAAUCUAUUAUGUUUUCUAAAAAAAUUACCCACCUAUGCCAUUAUGAAAAUAGUCUAAACUAACCCCUAAAUCUAUAUCUAAAUUACCCACUUCUACCGUUAUCUAAAGUAAACUAAAGUAUAAUCUCCUAAUCUUCAUCGAAAUUACCUACUUUUGCCAUUAUAAAAAUAGUUUUAAAUAAUCCCCUAAAUUUGCUACUAAAUUGUCCAACACUAAUACUUGAAAAAUAACUUAAAAUAACCCCUAAAUUUGUAUCUAUAUUACCC
This 496-nucleotide long non-coding RNA is filed under the name Setaria viridis. RNAcentral describes it as "long non-coding RNA (SVIR_LNC004718)". Lineage: Eukaryota; Viridiplantae; Streptophyta; Magnoliopsida; Poales; Poaceae. The record is from RNAcentral.